GGGGCUGUGUGUCAGUGGUAGAGCAUCUGCUUAGCAUGAAGGAGGUCUCAGGUUCAAUCCUUGGCAACUCCA
RNAcentral lists this transfer RNA (72 nucleotides) under Sphaerodactylus townsendi. RNAcentral describes it as "tRNA-Ala". The record is from RNAcentral. Lineage: Eukaryota; Metazoa; Chordata; Lepidosauria; Squamata; Sphaerodactylidae.